Oenanthe melanoleuca is the source of this 243-nucleotide long non-coding RNA. RefSeq lists it as uncharacterized. The record is from RefSeq and is a predicted model, not a curated record. NCBI's taxonomy places the organism in Eukaryota, Metazoa, Chordata, Aves, Passeriformes, Muscicapidae. The transcript is spliced from 2 exons.
AAUUUCCUGCCUGCUGCCCCUGCCAGAGCCGUGCCCAGUCCAUGCCCAUGUAAAUGUUCCCACAGCCUUGCAGAGGAGGCACCAGAACAGCACAAGCAAAUGUGUUUACAGCUUCAAGCUUAGAUUUGAAAUGUGUUUCUAACCUGACAUCUGUGUAUUUUCAGCCCUUUCCAAAGCUCUUGUUGUGCUUUCUAUGGCUUCUGCUUCAUUAUUCUAAUUUAAUAAAGCUGCAGUGAAGGCAGA